Molecule: non-coding RNA, 76 nt
Organism: Flavobacterium sp. CF136
Lineage: Bacteria; Pseudomonadati; Bacteroidota; Flavobacteriia; Flavobacteriales; Flavobacteriaceae
Source: Rfam
UCCUAGCCCAGACAGAAACGGCAUCCUUUUGUGGCGGGGUUUGCCACAAAAGAUAAAGUGGAUGGCUGGAUUAGCU